RNAcentral lists this ribosomal RNA (497 nucleotides) under uncultured bacterium. RNAcentral describes it as "partial 16S ribosomal RNA". It matches the Rfam family "Bacterial small subunit ribosomal RNA", at positions 28 to 507 of the family's 1533-position model. The record is from RNAcentral.
GAUGAACGCUGGCGGCGUGCCUAAUACAUGCAAGUCGAGCGAACGGACGAGGAGCUUGCUUCUCUGACGUUAGCGGCGGACGGGUGAGUAACACGUGGAUAACCUACCUAUAAGACUGGGAUAACUUCGGGAAACCGGAGCUAAUACCGGAUAAUAUUUUGAACCGCAUGGUUCAAAAGUGAAAGACGGUUUUGCUGUCACUUAUAGAUGGAUCCGCGCUGCAUUAGCUAGUUGGUAAGGUAACGGCUUACCAAGGCAACGAUGCAUAGCCGACCUGAGAGGGUGAUCGGCCACACUGGAACUGAGACACGGUCCAGACUCCUACGGGAGGCAGCAGUAGGGAAUCUUCCGCAAUGGGCGAAAGCCUGACGGAGCAACGCCGCGUGAGUGAUGAAGGUCUUCGGAUCGUAAAACUCUGUUAUUAGGGAAGAACAUAUGUGUAAGUAACUGUGCACAUCUUGACGGUACCUAAUCAGAAAGCCACGGCUAACUACGUG